Molecule: long non-coding RNA, 7110 nt
Organism: Sus scrofa (pig)
Lineage: Eukaryota; Metazoa; Chordata; Mammalia; Artiodactyla; Suidae
Source: RefSeq, a predicted model, not a curated record
UUCGAUAGGGAUGGAGUCGGCACAGGUAGUUGUUGACAUCCCAAUAAAGGAUCACAGACAGAGAGGGAAACCCAGGGGACAUUGGCAGGUCGCUGUCAGUUAAUAACUGCUCAAGAAAGCUCUCGGAACAGGCAGCUUUGCUCCACUAGUGGAGGCAGGAGAAUCGCCUCAGGUCCUUGAGACGGGGAUGGGGUGAGACCUGCUUUCAGAUUCAGACCAAGGGCAGGAAUUACUGACUACUAAGGAGGAGCUACUGCUCAAAGAACGAGGAAGAGGCGGUCUUUUCCAACCCCAACUCCCCUUGGAGGAUAAAACUGCAGCCCGCUGGAUGCUGGGGGCCAAGCCUCCUUGCCUGUCCGCUUGUACCUCUCACAAGCGUCCUAUCCUAACAAAUCUCUUUCUUGCCUAUUACUUUGCCUCACUGAAUUCCUUCUGUGAUGAGACACAAAGAACCUGAGCCUCAGGAAGUGCAGACACCAGAGGAUGGAACUGGUUCCAAAGCAAGGACCUCCCUGGAAUGAGAGAUCAACUAGGUGUGAAAAAGCAUCCCAAAGCCUCUGGACUCACUGCCAAUGCAAUUAGCUGCUACAAAAUUUGGGUAGGGAGUGUCGUGUUUCUGGAAGUGUCCAGAGGGAGCUUGGAUGAGCAAUUCUUGGAAAGAUUUUUAAAGCUUGCCCCAAGAACUUGCUGGACUCUCAUGCCAUACGAGAGACCCUCAAAGGACACUGGAUAUUUACCUUGAAGAAAAGAAAACUCUGCUGGGAGAGAGGGGUGGUUAAGAAACACUAACCCAUUUGAUAAUUUUGUGAGUACAGGGGAGCUGAGCUAUUGCUGUGUAUUCCUAUGGAGAAAUAAAUAGUAAUAGAAAUUACCGAAGCACAUUCUAAUGGAAAGGGCUAGCCAGAUAGAGAAUAUGCCUCUGAAGAGGUAAUGAGGUUGAAGUGACUAUUGUAACUUUCUGGAAAUGAACUAGAUGUUGUGUAGUAAAUAGGGGGAAGUAGGUCAAUUCGAUCCAUUAGAUUUUAUAAAAUUAUAUGAUGCAGAAGCAAAGAGAGAGCUAUUGAAUUUUAGCUGCUAUUAUGGAAGGCUAGGACUGGACUACAAUGAUUGACCCACAAUCACAGUAAUUGUUCAGGUGGACUUUGUAAAUGAGCUGAAAUCAUUCUUUUGAAAAUAACUCUUCAAAGUGAGAAGAUUUCUCCAAUCCACAUUUUCUAGUCUGCUUGGCUGUCCCCUCUGGGCUCAGUCAAAGAAACCCAUGCAGUGGAAGUAUGUUUAGCAAUUGGGCCUGUUCCCAGGUUGCGAGACAUUUAGCAAAAAUCCAGAGUUAUUAUUAGAUCUAAAUGGAGGCUUUUGUCAAAAGGCCUCUUGAACUGUUAGGAAAUCAGAGUGCAAAUUGAUAAUGACACACAACACAUCCCUGCCCUGGCAGCUCCCCGAAGGCUGCUGAGAUACCCCAGAAAGAACUUGCAUGGCCUCAUGCCAACAGCGUGUUGCUCAACCCUCGUCCUUCUCCUAAGUCGGCUUGACAACUGCAUUCUUCUCUUCCUUGUAAGAGGCAGAAGGAGAUGGAUUAAAGAGGAUGUUUGAACUGAGACUAUUAAUUUCCUUGCAGUGUGUAUUCAAGUCAGAUCCCUUUAGAAGAGCCUUUUGUGGUUUCAUAAAAUUACAACUUUGGCUAUUCGGCUGCCUUUUCCAAAGUACAAAUUUGGCUUCUAAAGAAAACACACUUCAUAGGAAAAAAGGAAAGAAAUGAGUACGUAGUUAUCUUUAAAUAUAUUCAUUUUAUAUAAUCGUUCUGUUACGCAAAGAAACAAUUACAGUAUUAACUACUUAUUAAUAAAAGAAAUCAUAAAACAUAGUGUCUUCAUAAACCCUUUCAGGUUUUCAUGAGUUUUAUUUGAAAGAAGUUAAUAAAACAGAUUUUUUUUUUUUCCCUUAGAGUUUAUGAAUGGAAAAAUACUUUUUUAAACUAUCGGGCUUAAAAAUGAAUGUUCCUCCUCUUUCUAAGACUGUGGCAAUACUUUUUACCUUUUCAAGGGACAGGUGAGCAGUCAUUUCAUGGGUGAAGGGUGUGUGUGCGAUGUCUUGCAGAGACAUUGCAGCAUGGAUUCCUUCCCCUCCUCUUUCUAGCCCCGGCCUCUCUGGCUUCCUCUAACUGUGCCUUACACUGGAGUGCACAGGGAUGCGGCUCACUUAGCAUCUACGUUAUUUCGAUUCUUCUUGCCAGCCCCUGUUUCUCUGGGCCAAGCUCUAGCCCAGCACCUCACACGUGGCAGGAAGUCUGUUUUAUUGAAUGAAUCCCUAAAUGUGAUGCCUGGAAGAGGAGAGAUUCUUUUCUCUGCUCUGCGGGUUAGACAAACUUUGGUUGGUUGGAACUCAUAGAAAACAAAACCCAAUUUAGCUACCACUCCCUGGAGAAAGGCAGCUUGAGAUUUAGGAGUCACCUCCAGGGCUUGGGGAUGAAGUUCAGACACUAAAGCGUCGGGGAGGGGACAGAACACACUGUGAUUUUUCUUUUCAAGGGCCCCACGUAGCAUCUGCAACCCCACCUCUGGUCCUGAUGCUGUGUGACUUUGACCAAGCGCUGGUCCCCACUAGGUUUUCUCUUCUCGGGGGACCUCAGUGGUUCUCAAUCAGGGCUAUGCUUGAGAACCACCACUGGAGAUUUUUAAAACACCUAUGCCUGGGGCCCACCUCGGACCAAUACAUUCAGAAACCUAAUGGCUGUGGACCUGCUGUGUAUUUUUUAAAAAUUUGCAGGUGAUUCCAAAGUGAAGCUGGGUUUAAACUUUGGUGUCUCUCCUUUAAUAUGAUGAGGAUGACCUGGGAUCUCGUAAAAAUGCAGAUUCUGAUUCAGCAGCUUUUGGGUGGAGCCUGCAUGUCUGCAUCUGAAGCCAGGGCUCAGGUGAUGCUGGCUGUCUCUGGUGCACCUGGACAAGGACCCAGAGCCUGGAGCUUGUAAAACCUGGGGACUUUAAGGCCUCACCUCAGGCCCACUGAAUCGCAUCCUGCAUUUGAAAUAUUCCUCGGUGAUUUUUAAUAUUUCAAAGUUGUAUUUGAGAAACAACUAAAUAAUCCAUGAGAAACCUCCCCUGCCUCCACUUUAGACAGCCUCUGCUUACUUUCACCUGUUUUUCCUUCCUGUGCCCCUGUGCUCACCAUAACCCAGCAGCUGAGGCUCUUUGUACUUGCCCAGAUGUGUCCUGCGUGGCCUGACACUGCCUUUCCAACAUGACAUGGCCAUGCCCUUUAUAUGGACUAGAUCCUUCCCCUUUACCCACUCCUUUCCUACCCAACCUUCAAGAUUUGGGGAUGAAGUCCUCCAGGGAAGCUGAUGUAACUAUUUCCACCCACCACCCGACUCUAACUUGGCUCCCCUGUGCUUUCUUACACUGAAAGAAAAUUACCCAUAUAUGUGCUUCGCUCCCCACCGAGGAUGUACAAUUAAUUCUGAAUUGUCAAAAACUGAGUUUUGAGGGUUUUUUUCUGAUUGAUCAAGGUGCUGGCACAGAGUAUGCACUUGUACUUUUCCGUGUGGGUUCUGAUUAGGAUGGAGAUCUUAACAGAUCUUCCACAUCAAGCUCUUCUUCCUGCCCAGAGUCUUGGCAACACACCAUGUGGCUAGAGAAACGCCAAGUGGAUUUCCCAGCUCAGCCUGGCACUAAAUCUCACUUUUUUUGUCUUGAGGACAUGUUGGGACCCCUGUAAACUCUCCAAGGCUUGAGACCCCUGUGCCCCAGAGGAAAGUGGCUUUGGUGGGCUUUCCUCUGGGACGGGAAUAGAUAGAUGAGUGAGAAAGGCAUCCACUUGCUUGAUUUCUGUGCUCCUUGUAUUUCUGACAUUUAUCAAAGCUGACAUCGCUUGCCAAAGGCCAAGGGAGGAAGGAUGAAACAGAUCAUUUUCAUUUGCCUGGUGUUCUCUUAGCUGUUUCCCAGGCUGACUGAGAACAAUUUGCAUCCUGUCCAGGCCCCAUAAUUUCUGGUUGUUAAAGAAAGACACAUGGGUAUUGCCAAAGCAUCCUGAGACCUUGACUCAGUGUAGUGCGACUUGAAGGAUAUGGGAAAUGUGGGAGGGCCACUUACUUUGAUUUUCUUCGUGUGGCCCACACUGCACGUUUCCUGGAAGAGGACACUGAGCCUGCAUUUGCUCUCAAUCUAAUGUUGGAUUCAAAUUAUGAAUAUCUAUCAAAUUCAGUGAAUAUCUAUCAAAUUCAGUGAAUAUCUAUCAAUUCAGUGUCCUCUGUGUGGCAGACUCUUUGCUGAUGUUGGGGAGGGUGACUGUGAUGCAUCACAGAUUUUACCUUCAAGGCGAUGCUGGAUGUAGAUACAAAGGACCAUGCUGCUAAGCGUUUUCUUGAGGAAUACGGUGCCGUAAGAAUACAGAAGAAAAGGCAAUUAACUCUACCUCCUAUGCUGCCAAAAAAGAUAACAGGGGGGUAGUAUGUCAAGGGAAAUGUCUUCCAAGACAUUUUAUUCAAACUUAAAGUUUCUUUUCCUGUGUAACUAAUAACCCUGAAACUUAGUGGCUAAAAUAACAGCAAUUGUGGAUUAUAAGAGACAGUCUUGCUGUGUAUGGAUGGCUUUUACUGAUUUACGUAAGAGUAGGGACAGGUAACGAUUAUACUGACAAAAAUAAGAUUAAAAAUAACCCUAAAGUAUGAACUGAGGCAUCAUGCGUGUCCAUCAGCGAAAUGUACUUGUGCUUAAAGAGAGUUUGACUGCUGUUGUUCACUUGAAUUUCUCCUGGUCAGUGGGUCCACCUGGCGCACAGAUGGGAGUUGGAGAAAAGUUAGGGUGUGGUCAAAAACCAGGGAGUUGCAAGAUGCUGGCCUUGGCCUCAGUGGCCUGAAUUAAUCCACAACUCAAUGCAUAUUCAAGGCAAAUUUUGGAGAGCAUUUUGGAGGGAGAGUAGCAAGGUCCUGGCUGCAACAGAAUUGGCAAUGGACUGUGGAGAGUGGAACAAAGGAAUGAAACGGGUGAGGAUUUCAAAGCUAACUGGCAGCAGAUUUGAGUCUGGACUUGGUAACUAACCUUGACUAAAUCACGUUAUUAAUAUAAUUUUGCCAAGACAAAGGGCACACAUUAAAAAAAAAAAAAGAAAGAAAAACAUAAGUCAUAACCGCACACACCCUCAUGAAAUUUCAAACACCGGAAUAAAGAAGAGAUUCUGAAAACAUCCUAGGAAUAAAAAGUAACAGGGAUCAGAUUUCUCAUCAGGAAUACAAGACGCUGGGACACAAUGGAGUAAUGUGUUCACGGUUCUGAGGGAAAAUAUUUUCAAUGAAGAAUGCCACAGUCAGCUCUGGUGGACGCUUGUGGUUUCCUACUCGAUAACCGUCUUUUUCUUCCUAUCGUUAGGCGCGUCUGCACUUUUGUUAAGGUAUUUUUUUGAGCAGGAAUACACUAAGGGGGAAAGGACCCUUCCACAUCCCUGGAGGCUGAAUUAUCAGUCUACACCAAUCAUGGUAAAAUCAUGCCUCUUCACUAUGGACUAUUCGAGGCGUGGGAUUAUAAUACGAUUCUAAUCAAGACCUGCUUCUAAAAGAGAUGGUUUUCCUGAUAAAAAGAGCUAUUCGGGAAGGGUUCUUUGUUCCAGCAGCCCAUCUUCCUGCCUCAAACUCAGUUAUUUGAGGAUAUUAUGCUUGGAUCGGUGUCAUCCAUCUUGUGACCAUGAGGUAAUAAGCUAGCAUACUACGGAUGGCCAAGCAGAAUAAUGGAAAGAGCUUGGGUCAUUGAUAACAUUGUUUAGUCACUGCUCCAAGCCUGGUACCACCUACCUCCAGGUUUCCUGUUAUUGGAGAUAAUUAAGGAUCUUUAUUGCUUAUGCUAUUUUGAAUAUGGUUUGUCACUUGCAGCAGAAUGCAUCGCAAAUGAGACAGGUGCCAAAUUAUCUAUCAGGAUGUAAAGACAUUUUCAUUUUCAGGCUUGGCAGUAGUCAUUCACAUCCCAAGCUCUCCUUUUCAGGGAUGUACCUGGAGAUUUAGUUCAGUAAAUGGAGGAAGGCAAUCAGGAAAGGAAAUAGAACCCACCCCAAAGGAGCAGGAAGGGAAGUGCUGACGUGAUAGUGGGCAGCCUGGAAGCAACAAACCAAACUGGAAAAAAAAAAAAAAAGAGAGAGAGAGGGAGAGAAAGGGUUGGAAGAAUAGACCAGGGAGGGAGAAAGAGAAGGAGGUUCGCAGAGGAAAAAUAUGUGGUGGACUCAAUGGAUAGAAAGUAUGAUUGCACUUGGGCCACACUAGAUGUAUGAUUAUAUUAUAAAGGGAAAUGAAUACAGAAAUAAAACCGAAAGGCAAGAAGAAGCCUGGGUAUGUGCACCUUGGGGAGGAAAGAUAGGGAGUAAAUAAGAAAAACCUAGUUCAAAUAUGAAAUGAACCAUGUUGUUGCAUGUGAAUAAAUGAGGUCAAUUAAGGAAGGAGAGAACAUGCAACCUUUUUAAGUAGGAAUAUUCGCCUCUGAAAAUUCCAUAAAUCUUGGCUCAGAUCCACCCAAACUUAACUAUGAACACUAUUUAUAGAGUUUUUAAAAAUACAUAGCUGCAAUAUAAUUAUGUAACUGUAAGUAGGUACAAUUAGCCUUUAGACAAAGAAAGGAAGAUUUGGUUAUGGUUGUCUGACAAUAGAUGUGAAAUACUGUUAUUGAUUCCAUAAAAGUAAAGCUGACAUAAAGCAGGAAUUCACAAUGGGAUAUACAACUUCAUAAAGCACUAGUAUCCUUAAUUUACAAUCUGGUAAUAGCUAUCAGAUAUUGGCGGGCAUUGGUGCAAUAAGAAAAAACAUGGUUAAAUAUGUUAUUUAAAGUUAAAAGUAACCAAUACUGUAACUAAGAAUACAAUACCAAACCUCUGGAGAUUUGGUGAAAGAGAAGAGUCAACAAGUAAAGUCAUCGUCCUUUGUAUUAGAAUAGUUCAUGCCUUCCUCUGGUCUCUUACUUGUCUUUCAAACACCACAUCAGAUUGUCACCUCUUCUAGGCAACAUUCCCAGGCACCUGUCACCCUUGCUCCCAAGGCUACAAUAGUUAUAACUCUGCGUCCCCUCCAUGGCAUUCAUUCAUUCAUUCAUUCAUCCAUUCAGCAAUGCCUCUUAGGGAGUUCCCGUCAUGGCUCCGUGG